Molecule: ribosomal RNA, 935 nt
Filed under: Pseudarthrobacter oxydans
Lineage: Bacteria; Bacillati; Actinomycetota; Actinomycetes; Micrococcales; Micrococcaceae
Description: bacterial SSU rRNA
Rfam family: Bacterial small subunit ribosomal RNA
Source: RNAcentral
CGAUGAUGGGAGCUUGCUCCUGGAUUAGUGGCGAACGGGUGAGUAACACGUGAGUAACCUGCCCUUAACUCUGGGAUAAGCCUGGGAAACUGGGUCUAAUACCGGAUAUGACUCCUCAUCGCAUGGUGGGGGGUGGAAAGCUUUAUUGUGGUUUUGGAUGGACUCGCGGCCUAUCAGCUUGUUGGUGAGGUAAUGGCUUACCAAGGCGACGACGGGUAGCCGGCCUGAGAGGGUGACCGGCCACACUGGGACUGAGACACGGCCCAGACUCCUACGGGAGGCAGCAGUGGGGAAUAUUGCACAAUGGGCGCAAGCCUGAUGCAGCGACGCCGCGUGAGGGAUGACGGCCUUCGGGUUGUAAACCUCUUUCAGUAGGGAAGAAGCGAAAGUGACGGUACCUGCAGAAGAAGCGCCGGCUAACUACGUGCCAGCAGCCGCGGUAAUACGUAGGGCGCAAGCGUUAUCCGGAAUUAUUGGGCGUAAAGAGCUCGUAGGCGGUUUGUCGCGUCUGCCGUGAAAGUCCGGGGCUCAACUCCGGAUCUGCGGUGGGUACGGGCAGACUAGAGUGAUGUAGGGGAGACUGGAAUUCCUGGUGUAGCGGUGAAAUGCGCAGAUAUCAGGAGGAACACCGAUGGCGAAGGCAGGUCUCUGGGCAUUAACUGACGCUGAGGAGCGAAAGCAUGGGGAGCGAACAGGAUUAGAUACCCUGGUAGUCCAUGCCGUAAACGUUGGGCACUAGGUGUGGGGGACAUUCCACGUUUUCCGCGCCGUAGCUAACGCAUUAAGUGCCCCGCCUGGGGAGUACGGCCGCAAGGCUAAAACUCAAGGAAUUGACGGGGGCCCGCACAAGCGGCGGAGCAUGCGGAUUAAUUCGAUGCAACGCGAGAACCUUACCAAGGCUUGACAUGAACCGGUAUACCUGGAGACAGUGCCCG